RNAcentral lists this ribosomal RNA (808 nucleotides) under uncultured Bacteroidota bacterium. RNAcentral's name for it is "bacterial SSU rRNA". It matches the Rfam family "Bacterial small subunit ribosomal RNA", at positions 64 to 869 of the family's 1533-position model. The record is from RNAcentral. Lineage: Bacteria; Pseudomonadati; Bacteroidota.
AAACGGCAUUGAGUGCUUGCACUCUUUGGACGUCGACCGGCGCACGGGUGAGUAACGCGUAUCCAACCUUCCCAUUACUGUGGGAUAACCUGCCGAAAGGCAGACUAAUACCGCAUAGUCUUCGAUGACGGCAUCAGAUUUGAAGUAAAGAUUUAUCGGUAAUGGAUGGGGAUGCGUCUGAUUAGCUUGUUGGCGGGGUAACGGCCCACCAAGGCGACGAUCAGUAGGGGUUCUGAGAGGAAGGUCCCCCACAUUGGAAUUGAGACACGGUCCAAACUCUUACGGGAGGCAGCAGUGAGGAAUAUUGGUCAAUGGACGGAAGUCUGAACCAGCCAAGUAGCGUGCAGGAUGACGGCCCUAUGGGUUGUAAACUGCUUUUGUAUGGGGAUAAAGUUAGGGACGUGUCCCUAUUUGCAGGUACCAUACGAAUAAGGACCGGCUAAUUCCGUGCCAGCAGCCGCGGUAAUACGGAAGGUCCAGGCGUUAUCCGGAUUUAUUGGGUUUAAAGGGAGCGUAGGCUGGAGAUUAAGUGUGUUGUGAAAUGUAGACGCUCAACGUCUGAAUUGCAGCGCAUACUGGUUUCCUUGAGUACGCACAACGUUGGCGGAAUUCGUCGUGUAGCGGUGAAAUGCUCAGAUAUGACGAAGAACUCCGAUUGCGAAGGCAGCUGACGGGAGCGCAACUGACGCUUAAGCUCGAAGGUGCGGGUAUCAAACAGGAUUAGAUACCCUGGUAGUCCGCACAGUAAACGAUGGAUGCCCGCUGUUGGUACCUGGUAUCAGCGGCUAAGCGAAAGCAUUAAGCAUCC